CGGUAAUAGCUUUUGUUCACAUCGGUAGUAUCUUUUGUUGCUGGCGGUAAUAUCUUUUGCUGGUGACUGUAGUAGCUUUUGUUUACGGCGGUAAUAUCUUUGUUGAUAGUAGUUUUUCAUAUGCUUGGUAGUAUCUUUUGUGACCUCGCCGGAGGUCACCGGAAUCUUAGUAUCGUAGCUUUUGUAGCUGGUGGUAGUAGAUUUUGUUAUGUUCGGUAGUAUUUUUUGUUACUGGCGAUAGUAUUUUUUGUGACCUCGCCGGAGGUCGUCGAAGAUCUCACCAUAGUAGUUUUUAUAGCCGAUGGUAGUAGUUUUUAUAGCCGGUGGUAGUAGCCUUUGUUGCUAGUGACAGUAUCUUUUGCAAUCUUCAGUUACAUUGUCGGAGGUCAACGGUAAAAUUGUCGGAGGUCGGUCAGAAACUUUACCUGAAGUCAGCCAGAGACCUGUCAGUGGUAGUAGCUUUCUUUGCUGGUCGUAGUAGCUUUUGUUGCUAUCGGUAAUAGCUUUCUUUGCUGGUGACAGUAGCCUUUUUUGCUAUCGGUAGUAUAUUUUGUUGUCAGUAGUAGUAGCUUUCUUUGCUGGCAGUAGUAGCUUUUGUUGCUAUCAGUAGUAGAUUUCUUUGCUGGUGACAGUAAUUUUUUUUUCCAUCAGUAGUUACUUUUGUUGUCAGUGGUAGUAGCUUUCUUUGUCAGUGGUAGUAGCUUUCUUUGUCAGCGGUAGUAGCUUUUGUUGUCACUGGUAGUAGCUUUUGUGGUCGCUAGAAUCCUCAUAGAUGGUCGGCCGGAAAGUUCGCCGGAGGUCGGUCGGAAAGUUCGCCGGAAGUCGGUUGGAAAUUUCGCCGGAG
Molecule: long non-coding RNA, 844 nt
Filed under: Fragaria vesca (wild strawberry)
Lineage: Eukaryota; Viridiplantae; Streptophyta; Magnoliopsida; Rosales; Rosaceae
Description: long non-coding RNA (FVES_LNC001962)
Source: RNAcentral